CACAGGACCGGCGUGUGCGCAGCCUGCUGAACAAGGAUUUGAAGAUAUCACAAGGCCCCACCUCGCGGAAAGGGAAAACUUAAAAGUCCAACUUUUCAAGAGCCCUACAGGCCACAGCCCUCAGGAUAGGAUGAAGGAGUUUGUGUCAUGCCAAAGAAAGCUAGAAAAGCCAGUUUAAAAAGGCAAUUCACAUUUUAAAAGCAUCAGAGAGUUGCAGAAGCAGCAAGGACUAGAAGAACUAAAAUUCCAGAGAGGAGAGAACCUUUUGGAAGUGAGUUGACGGACUGCAGUCACAUUUUACCUGAGAGCAUUUUCCAGUCUUGGGUGCAGGCUGAUAAUCUGCCUUAGGUCCAAGCAUAGGGCUGCUGCUGAGGUACUGGGAACCCAAUGAAACUUUUGUUGGUCACUCAGGGUUGCUGUGACAAGACUGUAGACUUGGGGGACAUUAAACAUAUAGCUGUUUUUUACCUCUAGACAUUUUCAGAAUUCUAAAACUAUGUGGGGCAAGAGGUUAUAAAAUUAAGGAAAAUCUCUGGGAAAAAGAACAGAAUUUAUAACAAUUUCAUGGUACUAAGAAGAUGAAAAUUCCUGGGGUAGAGAAAGGGGAAAGAACACGCCAGGAGAAAGUGAAAGCCCUGA
RNAcentral lists this long non-coding RNA (639 nucleotides) under Homo sapiens (human). RNAcentral's name for it is "HSALNT0130526". The record is from RNAcentral. Lineage: Eukaryota; Metazoa; Chordata; Mammalia; Primates; Hominidae.